AAAAAAAGGAGGAUCAUAGUGGGGUUACUGAGAUAAUAGAGUAAUAUUAGUAAACAGCAGGUUCUGGUCUUAAGUAUUUCUGUAAAUAGUAUUUACUCGUGAUAGCCAACAUCUUAAGUGGACAGCUGAGAACAUGAAAAGCAAUACUGAUCUGUAGCUAGGGUAGAUGACCAAACUCAGGAGACUGGAAGCACCUCCAGAACUUCCACAUAGUCUUAAGAUUUACUAUGAGUUUACCGAAUUGUUUCAAAACUUGUAAGCGUAGCUUUUGUAGCCUAUAUGUUACAGUGUCUGGGAGCUGGAAGAGCACGGAGGGUGGGGAGAGGUACAAGGCAGGAGCAGGGGGCACCCACCCCGGUGCCAGCCAGGCCCACACCAACAGAACACAGCCCUGUGGGGCCUGGGCUAGGUGUGCAGAGCCCCCAAGACAGACUCCCUGGAAGGCUGAGGGGUGGAUCAGGCCGGAGGGCUUUCCAAGGAACCCAGACAGGGCCAGCAGGGGACAGGGAUGGACACAGGCACCCCUACGGCACACCUUGGUGGGGACGAAAACUGAAAUUGUGUUCCUGGGCCACACGGAGGUACUGGAGAGAGGCCUGGUGGUGCUGGGCUGGCUGCAGACCGCCUCUAUGCUAUGGAGAAACAGGAAUAUGUAUUUCAAGAUAGACGACACUCUCUGAUUCCAUAAAAUGUUUCAAAGGCAGGCAUAUGAAAUUUAGCUGCUUCUGAAUCCUUUCUCCCACGCUGAAAGAAUCCACAAUACAUACCUGAAGAGCUAGUAACCACUUUCCUCAUUGUUUUCCUGACCUGAGUGGGUUUUUUUUUUGUUUGUUUGCUUUGAUAACCACCCAAAUCCUCAAAAAUUUUGUACUGUAUUGCU
This 880-nucleotide long non-coding RNA is filed under the name Anser brachyrhynchus (Pink-footed goose). RNAcentral's name for it is "lncRNA (ENSABRG00000001032.1)". The record is from RNAcentral. Lineage: Eukaryota; Metazoa; Chordata; Aves; Anseriformes; Anatidae.